RNAcentral lists this non-coding RNA (228 nucleotides) under Clostridium chauvoei. RNAcentral describes it as "T-box sequence". It matches the Rfam family "T-box leader". From Rfam's summary of the family: Uncharged tRNA acts as the effector for transcription antitermination of genes in the T-box leader family. T-boxes are found upstream of many aminoacyl-tRNA synthetase genes and some amino acid biosynthetic genes usually in Gram-positive bacteria. Lineage: Bacteria; Bacillati; Bacillota; Clostridia; Eubacteriales; Clostridiaceae. The record is from RNAcentral.
UUUAUUGCAUUGAAUAGGAGUAGUACUAUAUCCUUAUAUCUUUAGAGAGUUACUGUUUGGUGAAAAGUAACGAUAUAAAUAUAGGAACUUGCCUAGGAGCUUACUUGUCAAAAGCAAGUACGGGAUAUUCCCGUUAUUUAUUUAAGCGAGAAAUUUUACUUAGGUAUAUUUAUCUAGUAUUUUUUCUAAUAAGAGUGGUACCGCGAAAUAAUGUCUUUCGUCUCUUAA